Non-coding RNA from Macaca mulatta (Rhesus monkey), 352 nucleotides. The record is from RefSeq and is a predicted model, not a curated record. NCBI's taxonomy places the organism in Eukaryota, Metazoa, Chordata, Mammalia, Primates, Cercopithecidae.
AGAGCAUCAAUCCAGGAAUUUAGGGCUCAUGGGUGCCAUCUUGGAGACAAGCUAGCAUGCCUGUAAUGCUAGAAGCUGAACCCAGGAGCACCAUCAGAGGCUGUAGAUUCUGAAACUUCUAACAGAGUUUGACACGGACAUUUGCCCCAGUGUGUCAUGCUCAGAGGAAUGACUCAUAGGUCCUAAUGAGAGAGCACACUUUGGAAAAGGAUGACUGACUUUUAGAAGGAAGACCCAAACAAACCGGUCAACAGAAAUGGAGUGCUGCUCUAGUGCCAUGCCCGAGACACCUGCCAAUAGUCCUCUGCCACUCGCCAUCCCUGCAUCAGCAUCUGGGACAUGGUCAUUACAC